UACGUAGGUGGCAAGCGUUGUCCGGAUUUACUGGGCGUAAAGAGCGCGCAGGCGGUCGUGCAAGUCGCGUGUGAAAGCCCCCGGCUCAACUGGGGAGGGUCACGCGAUACUGUUCGACUCGAAGGCAGGAGAGGGAAGCGGAAUUCCCGGUGUAGUGGUGAAAUGCGUAGAUAUCGGGAGGAACACCAGUGGCGAAGGCGGCUUCCUGGCCUGUUCUUGACGCUGAGGCGCGAAAGCUAGGGGAGCAAACGGG
This 253-nucleotide ribosomal RNA is filed under the name uncultured bacterium. RNAcentral describes it as "partial 16S ribosomal RNA". It matches the Rfam family "Bacterial small subunit ribosomal RNA", at positions 524 to 776 of the family's 1533-position model. The record is from RNAcentral.